GGGCCUAUAGCUCAGUCGGUUAGAGCAGAGGACUCAUACUCCUUUGGUCCACGGUUCGAGUCCGUGUGGGCCCACCA
Molecule: transfer RNA, 77 nt
Filed under: Pseudomonas aeruginosa
Lineage: Bacteria; Pseudomonadati; Pseudomonadota; Gammaproteobacteria; Pseudomonadales; Pseudomonadaceae
Description: tRNA-Ile
Rfam family: tRNA
About the family: Transfer RNA (tRNA) molecules are approximately 80 nucleotides in length. Their secondary structure includes four short double-helical elements and three loops (D, anti-codon, and T loops).
Source: RNAcentral